Molecule: small nuclear RNA, 107 nt
Filed under: Prolemur simus (greater bamboo lemur)
Lineage: Eukaryota; Metazoa; Chordata; Mammalia; Primates; Lemuridae
Source: RNAcentral
GUGCUUGCUUCGGCAACACAUAUACUAAAAUUGGAACGAUACGGAAAAGAUUAGCAUGGCCCCUGCACAGGGAUGACAGGCAAAUUCGUGAAGCGUUCCACAUAAAA